CCUACGGGUGGCUGCAGUGGGGAAUAUUGGACAAUGGGGGGAACCCUGAUCCAGCCAUGCCGCGUGUGUGAAGAAGGCCCUCGGGUUGUAAAGCACUUUCAGUGAGGAAGAACGCCUGGUGGUUAAUACCCAUCAGGAAAGACAUCACUCACAGAAGAAGCACCGGCUAACUCCGUGCCAGCAGCCACGGUAAUACGGAGGGUGCGAGCGUUAAUCGGAAUUACUGGGCGUAAAGCGCGCGUAGGUGGCUUGAUAAGCCGGUUGUGAAAGCCCCGGGCUCAACCUGGGAACGGCAUCCGGAACUGUCAAGCUAGAGUGCAGGAGAGGAAGGUAGAAUUCCCGGUGUAGCGGUGAAAUGCGUAGAGAUCGGGAGGAAUACCAGUGGCGAAGGCGGCCUUCUGGACUGACACUGACACUGAGGUGCGAAAGCGUGGGUAGCAAACAGGAUUAGAUACCCCAGUAGUC
RNAcentral lists this ribosomal RNA (465 nucleotides) under Vreelandella stevensii. RNAcentral's name for it is "partial 16S ribosomal RNA". It matches the Rfam family "Bacterial small subunit ribosomal RNA", at positions 338 to 795 of the family's 1533-position model. The record is from RNAcentral. Lineage: Bacteria; Pseudomonadati; Pseudomonadota; Gammaproteobacteria; Oceanospirillales; Halomonadaceae.